This 439-nucleotide long non-coding RNA is filed under the name Lepidothrix coronata (blue-crowned manakin). RNAcentral describes it as "lncRNA (ENSLCOG00000004608.1)". Lineage: Eukaryota; Metazoa; Chordata; Aves; Passeriformes; Pipridae. The record is from RNAcentral.
UUUAAUUUUCUUGUGAGAGAAGUACUUGAUUCAAACACCAUCUGGCCAGCAAGAGAGAAGCACAUAUAGAACUGGAGAUAUCCUUCGACAGAAAGCCAGAAUACAGGAGCAUGCUGGAACAUCAUAGAGCUCCAAAAUAUUGUCUCAGGUCUGGAGCAAAGCCCCAACACCAAGCCCAGACUGAAAUUCUUCACUUCACUGAGGGAUCAAAACAUCACAUCUAUCUCUAAAGGGCUGAUUUACUGACGUAAUGAGUGCAAUGGAGAUUAAAUUCAAAGAAUUCCUGGAUCACAUUUUUCUCCCUUGCUUGCAACAUAUACAGUCUAGAAAUAUACUUAAUUUGGAGUACAUAUGCAUCACAUGAUGUGAUGAGUUUUGUUAAAUGUUUAACUAAAAAUGAAUUGCUAGAUUGAUGUUUUCAUGAGUUAGAGAUGGGAUA